This 460-nucleotide ribosomal RNA is filed under the name uncultured bacterium. RNAcentral's name for it is "partial 16S ribosomal RNA". It matches the Rfam family "Bacterial small subunit ribosomal RNA", at positions 338 to 795 of the family's 1533-position model. The record is from RNAcentral.
CCUACGGGAGGCAGCAGUGAGGAAUAUUGGUCAAUGGGCGGAAGCCUGAACCAGCCAAGUCGCGUGAGGGAAUAAGGCCCUACGGGUCGUAAACCUCUUUUGCCGGGGAGCAAGGGCCGGGACUCGUCCCGGCCCGGAGAGUACCCGGAGACAAAGCAUCGGCUAACUCCGUGCCAGCAGCCGCGGUAAUACGGAGGAUGCGAGCGUUAGCCGGAUUUAUUGGGUUUAAAGGGUGCGUAGGCGGGCUUUUAAGUCAGCGGUAAAAAUUCGGGGCUCAACCCCGUCCGGCCGUUGAAACUGGGGGCGUUGAGUGGGCGAGAAGAAGGCGGAAUGCGUGGUGUAGCGGUGAAAUGCAUAGAUAUCACGCAGAACCCCGAUUGCGAAGGCAGCCUGCCGGCGCCCUACUGACGCUGAGGCACGAAAGUGCGGGGAUCGAACAGGAUUAGAUACCCGGGUAGUC